Molecule: ribosomal RNA, 498 nt
Filed under: uncultured bacterium
Lineage: Bacteria
Description: partial 16S ribosomal RNA
Rfam family: Bacterial small subunit ribosomal RNA
Source: RNAcentral
AUUGAACGCUGGCGGCAUGCCUUACACAUGCAAGUCGAACGGUAACAGGUCUUCGGAUGCUGACGAGUGGCGAACGGGUGAGUACUACAUCGGAACGUGCCUAGUAGUGGGGGAUAACUACUCGAAAGAGUGGCUAAUAACGCAUGAUAUCUACGGAUGAAAGCAGGGGAUCGCAAGACCUUGUGCUACUAGAGCGGCCGAUGGCAGAUUAGGUAGUUGGUGGGAUAAAAGCUUACCAAGCCGACGAUCUGUAGCUGGUCUGAGAGGACGAUCAGCCACACUGGGACUGAGACACGGCCCAGACUCCUACGGGAGGCAGCAGUGGGGAAUUUUGGACAAUGGGCGAAAGCCUGAUCCAGCAAUGCCGCGUGCAGGAUGAAGGCCUUCGGGUUGUAAACUGCUUUUGUACGGAACGAAAAGCCCCGGGUUAAUACCCUGGGGUCAUGACGGUACCGUAAGAAUAAGCACCGGCUAACUACGUGCCAGCAGCCGCCGUAA